Gordionus sp. m RMFG-2023 is the source of this 262-nucleotide long non-coding RNA. RefSeq lists it as uncharacterized. The transcript is spliced from 2 exons. The record is from RefSeq and is a predicted model, not a curated record. Lineage: Eukaryota; Metazoa; Nematomorpha; Gordioida; Chordodea; Parachordodidae.
AAUAAUUUGAAUUAUUUACUAAUUAUAUUAGCUUGGGUGAAAAAAAAAUACUAAAAAUGAUAAAACUGCUAUUGAUUUUUUCCAUCACGGUACCAAUAUUCCAAUUCGACGAGAAUGACAGCAUCAAAGAAAAGAAAUGUAUUACAAUAUAUAUUAGCUAUAGAUAUUCAAUAUUUCUUUUUAACUAAUUAACAUUGAAGAAUUAGAUGAAAAUACUUAUACAUUCAUAUAACUCUAAAUAAACCAUUUAUAGCCUAUUUAA